This 74-nucleotide transfer RNA is filed under the name Geodia barretti. It matches the Rfam family "tRNA". From Rfam's summary of the family: Transfer RNA (tRNA) molecules are approximately 80 nucleotides in length. The record is from Rfam by way of RNAcentral. RNAcentral also lists the same sequence under 3 other names. Lineage: Eukaryota; Metazoa; Porifera; Demospongiae; Tetractinellida; Geodiidae.
GGGGGCGUGGCGAAGCUGGUUAUCGCGCCGGCCUGUCAAGCCGGAGGCCGCGGGUUCAAGUCCCGUCGCUCCCG